GCUACCGUUUCGGCCACCAGCCGCCCGAAUGGGCCAGGGAAUCCGGUGCGAAUCCGGGACUGACGCGCAGCGGUGAGGCAGACGGUCGAGACACGACGUCACUGGGGUCACACGACUCUGGGAAGGCGUCUCGCGCCGGAUGAAGCCGAGUCCGAAGACCUGCUGGUGACCGCCUGUAACA
Molecule: non-coding RNA, 181 nt
Filed under: Kineosphaera limosa
Lineage: Bacteria; Bacillati; Actinomycetota; Actinomycetes; Micrococcales; Dermatophilaceae
Also listed under: 1 other name
Source: RNAcentral